Molecule: ribosomal RNA, 503 nt
Filed under: Microsepsis furcata
Lineage: Eukaryota; Metazoa; Arthropoda; Insecta; Diptera; Sepsidae
Description: partial 16S ribosomal RNA
Rfam family: Bacterial large subunit ribosomal RNA
Source: RNAcentral
AAACAUGUCUUUUUGUAUUAUAUUUAAAGUCUAACCUGCCCACUGAAUAAUUUAAAUGGCCGCAGUAUCCUAACUGUGCAAAGGUAGCAUAAUCAUUAGUCUUUUAAUUGAAGGCUGGAAUGAAUGGUUGGACGAGGUAUUAACUGUUUCAAAUAAAUUUUUUAUAGAAUUUUAUUUUUUAGUCAAAAAGCUAAAAUUUAAUUAAAAGACGAGAAGACCCUAUAAAUCUUUACUAUUAUUUAUAUUUUAAUUAUAUAGAAUAAUUUUAUUAUAAUAUAAUUAAUAGUUUUAUUGGGGUGAUAUUAAAAUUUAAAAAACUUUUAAUUUUUAAAAUACAUAAAUUAAUGAAUAAUUGAUCCAUUAUUAGUGAUUAAAAAUUUAAGUUACUUUAGGGAUAACAGCGUAAUUUUUUUGGAGAGUUCAUAUCGAUAAAAAAGAUUGCGACCUCGAUGUUGGAUUAAGAAAAAUUUUAGGUGUAGCCGCUUAAAUAUUAAGUCUGUUCG